This 497-nucleotide ribosomal RNA is filed under the name uncultured bacterium. RNAcentral describes it as "partial 16S ribosomal RNA". It matches the Rfam family "Bacterial small subunit ribosomal RNA", at positions 28 to 507 of the family's 1533-position model. The record is from RNAcentral.
GAUGAACGCUGGCGGCGUGCCCAAUACAUGCAAGUCGAGCGAACGGACGAGAAGCUUGCUUCUCUGAUGUUAGCGGCGGACGGGUGAGUAACACGUGGAUAACCUACCUAUAAGACUGGGAUAACUUCGGGAAACCGGAGCUAAUACCGGAUAAUAUUUUGAACCGCAUGGUUCAAAAGUGAAAGACGGUCUUGCUGUCACUUAUAGAUGGAUCCGCGCUGCAUUAGCUAGUUGGUAAGGUAACGGCUUACCAAGGCAACGAUGCAUAGCCGACCUGAGAGGGUGAUCGGCCACACUGGAACUGAGACACGGUCCAGACUCCUACGGGAGGCAGCAGUAGGGAAUCUUCCGCAAUGGGCGAAAGCCUGACGGAGCAACGCCGCGUGAGUGAUGAAGGUCUUCGGAUCGUAAAACUCCGUUAUUAGGGAAGAACAUAUGUGUAAGUAACUGUGCACAUCUUGACGGUACCUAAUCAGAAAGCCACGGCUAACUACGUG